RNAcentral lists this transfer RNA (69 nucleotides) under Bos taurus (domestic cattle). It matches the Rfam family "tRNA". Rfam says of the family: Transfer RNA (tRNA) molecules are approximately 80 nucleotides in length. Their secondary structure includes four short double-helical elements and three loops (D, anti-codon, and T loops). Lineage: Eukaryota; Metazoa; Chordata; Mammalia; Artiodactyla; Bovidae. The record is from Rfam by way of RNAcentral.
CCUGGUGGCUCAGAUGAUAAAGUGUCUGCCUGCAAUGCAGAACACCUGGGUUCAAUUCCUGGGUCAGGA